This 497-nucleotide ribosomal RNA is filed under the name uncultured bacterium. RNAcentral describes it as "partial 16S ribosomal RNA". It matches the Rfam family "Bacterial small subunit ribosomal RNA", at positions 28 to 507 of the family's 1533-position model. The record is from RNAcentral.
GAUGAACGCUGGCGGCGUGCCUAAUACAUGCAAGUCGAGCGAACGGACGAGAAGCUUGCUUCUCUGAUGUUAGCGGCGGACGGGUGAGUAACACGUGGAUAACCUACCUAUAAGACUGGGAUAACUUCGGGAAACCGGAGCUAAUACCGGAUAAUAUUUUGAACCGCAUGGUUCAAAAGUGAAAGACGGUCUUGCUGUCACUUAUAGAUGGAUCCGCGCUGCAUUAGCUAGUUGGUAAGGUAACGGCUUACCAAGGCAACGAUGCAUAGCCGACCGGAGAGGGUGAUCGGCCACACUGGAACUGAGACACGGUCCAGACUCCUACGGGAGGCAGCAGUAGGGAAUCGUCCGCAAUGGGCGAAAGCCUGACGGAGCAACGCCGCGUGAGUGAUGAAGGUCUUCGGAUCGUAAAACUCUGUUAUUAGGGAAGAACAUAUGUGUAAGUAACUGUGCACAUCUUGACGGUACCUAAUCAGAAAGCCACGGCUAACUACGUG